GAAAUGCGAUAAGUAAUGUGAAUUGCAGAAUUCAGUGAAUCAUCGAAUCUUUGAACGCACAUUGCGCCCCCUGGUAUUCCGGGGGGCAUGCCUGUUCGAGCGUCAUUACAACCCUCAAGCUCUGCUUGGUAUUGGGCUUCGUCGGUCUCCGGCGUGCCUCAAAGCCAUCGGCGGUGGUGCCCUUCUCUAAGCGUGGUAAAUUUUAUUCGCUUGUGGGCUGGAGCUUCACCCGCCGGACAAUUCGGGGCCUCGCGUCCAAUUUCUUAGGUUGACCUCGGAUCAGGUAGGGAUACCCGCUGAACUUAA
This 306-nucleotide unclassified non-coding RNA is filed under the name uncultured Ascomycota. RNAcentral describes it as "sequence contains ITS1". The stretch from base 1 to 105 matches the Rfam family "5.8S ribosomal RNA", at positions 50 to 154 of the family's 154-position model. Lineage: Eukaryota; Fungi; Ascomycota. The record is from RNAcentral.